This 468-nucleotide ribosomal RNA is filed under the name uncultured bacterium. RNAcentral describes it as "partial 16S ribosomal RNA". It matches the Rfam family "Bacterial small subunit ribosomal RNA", at positions 28 to 507 of the family's 1533-position model. The record is from RNAcentral.
GACGAACGCUGGCGGCGUGCUUAACACAUGCAAGUCGAACGGAAAGGCCCUGCUUUUGUGGGGUGCUCGAGUGGCGAACGGGUGAGUAACACGUGAGUAACCUGCCCUUGACUGUGGGAUAAGUUUAGGAAACUGGGGCUAAUACCGGAUAGGAGCUCCUGAUGCAUGGUGGGGGUUGGAAAGUUUCGGCGGUUGGGGAUGGACUCGCGGCGGAUCAGCUUGUUGGUGGGGUAGUGGCUUACCAAGGCUUUGACGGGUAGCCGGCCUGAGAGGGUGACCGGCCACAUUGGGACUGAGAUACGUCCCAGACUCCUACGGGAGGCAGCAGUGGGGAAUAUUGCACAAUGGGCGGAAGCCUGAUGCAGCAACGCCGCGUGCGGGAUGACGGCCUUCGGGUUGUAAACCGCUUUCGCCUGUGACGAAGCGUGAGUGACGGUAAUGGGUAAAAAAGCACCGGCUAACUACGUG